GGCGGGCUCGUAAGGGAGCAGGUGCGGAGGAAGAAGGGGAAGGGGAAGGUGGGUUUGGUCGUCUUUUUUAGGCCGCUUAGCUUGGAUCCCAAAGUGGAGGGAGCGGCGGCUACUUCCCGCCGGCGGACGUGGCGGGCCUCGGGGGCCGGGGAGUGCGCCGGCGCCGGGACGGGCGCGGGCGGGGGCGGGGGCGGGAGCGCGGGCGGCUGCUGACCCACCUGCCGAGGACCUGCCACCUGACGAGGACGCCGCAGUGGAAGCUGCUGCCGCUCCUCUACCACUCGACGCUGCUGACGUCGCAGACCCACGUGUGCGCCACGCGCGCGAUGCAGGCGCCGCACGUGUGGAGGAAGAGGACGGUGUUGACGGCCGUGUUCGCGCGGGGGAGGAGGCGGCUCGAGGAGCGGCUCGACGGGUGGGUGGCGGGCGGGGGCGAGAUGGCGUCCACCCGGCUCCAGGGCGAGGGGCGGGCGCAGGUGCAGGUGCCGGAGGGGCCGCCGCCCCGGCUGCGGAGGGAGAAGGCGCCUAGGGGGAGGGGGUGGCGGAAGAGGCGGCGGGAGACCGCGACGCGGCCGAUGCAGGGGUUCUUUAAGCCGAAGGCGAUGACGCUCAAGGGGAGGACCCGGCUCCUGUUCCUGUUCUCACGGCUCCUGUUCUCCUGGCUCCUGUUCCUGUUCUCACGGCUCCUGUUCUCCUGGCUCCUGUUCCUGCCACGGCUGCGAGAAAAGCGCUACCGGUCCCUCUUCGCCCUCCUCUGCCGCGGUCGCGGUGGCGGCCGCCGGUCUAAUAGGGAGGGCUAACCCUUAUUCCCUUUGUUCUUUCGAGUUUGGGAUUCGUUCUUCCGACUUCCGUCAGUUGUACGACCGCGUUUUCUUCAAGGAGGAGCCUGUCUACGAUUCUGUUUUCCUCGUGGGUUCUAGCGACGUCUCCGACUAUGUGUCCUAUUACCCAAACUCAGCUUUCCCCUAGAAUUGUACGGACUAUAGUCCGUGUUCCUAGUCAAACGGCUGUAUUGGUACCGGUUAAGACUAAAAUUUCACCAACCACUUCGAUUAUUCUUCUACUUCCUUAGGAACCUUGACUCACCCCUCUUCUCCUCAAGACUCCCUCGAGGUUCCUACGACUUUUUCCUUCUUGGAUUCCUCAGAUAAUUUGACCUCUAGAGGAGACCUCCAUCUCGAUGUAGUCGACACCGUCUUGUCCUUCGUGUGAGUGCCAAACAGUUCCGUCUCCAAUCGUAUACAUUCUUUGUUUAACUUCCUUCGGUAUUACACCUGAAUGUUAGACCGUAUUUCUUACGUCUUUACCUACCUCGAUGCGCAUCGGUACCAAGGUACUUUCACGUGCACCCAGAAGUCUUUGUUGGUUUAGUUCGAAGAAGUUUAGAUGUCCUAGCACUCUCUUGUUUCCAAUGGGUCAAGUAAUUACUACUCGUAUCCUCGCUGUUAGUUCCAGUUCCCUAACCACGUCCAAGAAACUGACGAGUUUCUUCAAGUCGGUUCAGAUAGAGACUAAGUCCGAGACUGGAAGAUUUAAGGCACUGUUUGUCAGUCUACGUGUGUUAUGGACUCGUUUUGAGUCGAAAUCCACGAGUCUUUCAAACGUGACGGAGAAGACCAGGAUGUGUAAGGGUACAACUCUAUAGUGUGAGAAAUCAAAGUCGUCUUGGUAGUAGUCCUCCCUUCUGAUCGGCAAAUUACUUUUUCCUUGUCUGCUUCAACCAAUGAGGACGACUAUCGUUUGUACUAAGACAUUUCGUAGGACGUCUCUCAAGGUUCCUUAAAUCAUCCAGGAGACUCUUUCAAGUUGACUUUCCGAGGGAAAGAAGACGUGGUUUUAGUAGAGUUUGUUCGUUUAGUAUACACGGAAGUCGGUUUGAAUCUCAUGGCCAGAGUUUCCUCGUCAGUGUUUUCUGUGGAUACUGACGACCGUGGUGUCGAUCUAGUAAGGUACCUCUUCACGGUGGUAACGUAAGAGCAUUGUUCCGUUAUGGAAGAUUAAAUGGGGUCUUUUUUCUGUUCUGGGUAGUGGCGAAACAAGUACAGUGUGUUCUCCCGAGAUGAUUAAGUCGUAGUUGACUCAACGCUCGGAGACUACACUGUCGAAGUAACUCACUACUUGUCGAACGCAACAAUAAUGUAGUUGUUAAUUUAUCGAGGGGUUCUCAUGGUUCCCACGGUGCACCGGUUGUUUGUCCAUCGGUCUACGAUGUAGUUUGACCUCGCAGACAAAAAAGGUUCGCCAGAAGUCGUGUACCUCCUUCCCUAGUUUGUGGCCACAAUUUCUUCUCUUUGUUUCUACUACAGCGUAACUCUCUAUUACCGCUGUUGUUCUCUUGACCUUCUCGUUUUAGUACCAUACACAAGUUUGCUUCGAUGGUGACCCAAUCUUUUCCUGCUGGCCUACCUAUCGCCAGAAGGCGCGUCAAAUGGACCUAAGUAACUACUUUAGUAGUCAUCGUUGUCUUUAUAUUGUAUACUGCUUGACACACUACGAUAGCCACUCGUAACCUCCCUAAAUCAAUUUGGGUUUCCUCUUCUAAUAAGUAUAAGGUCGAAAAAUGUACGACAGCUACUAACAGAGUCCUGUUUCUCGCUCACCCGAGUGGAACAAAUGGUCCGAGGUUUCUACUUAGGCUUAUUUGCUGCGUUCCACCUUUCGCUGGGAAGUAGCCGGCUACAUUACCUUUGUCUCUUCUGUUCUUUGGUCCGACUUUCUAUAGGCCCUCUUCUCCCAUCAAGGCUCAGCGUUGUUCCACACGGUUCCCCGUUUUCCUUCCCAGCCUUUGCGAGGGCAGUACUUUACUUUAGGAGCUCAAGGUUCUUCUCCUCCUUCUAUAGCUUGUACCUAAGUAGGAGCCUCCUACGACGAGGGGGAAACAGAUUAAGGUCGUCGUUGGGGUACCAACUACUCUCGGUUCUUCUACUAAGAAGACCGCCACUAUCCGUUGGAUUGAAACGUCCAAGUAUCCUACAGGACGACUACGUCACGACAACCGUUACUGUAAUCUGACCUUCCCCUGGUCGACAAAAGGAAAGACCGGGAGCUUACGUCAUUUUCAAACAACCCUCGUAAAGGAAAUUGGCCUCAAGUCCAAACAUCGUCCGUUGCUUGACAGUCCAAACUACGGGUUGUUCGGCGCGAGUACAUUGUCAUCACAUUAGAUCUCAUUGGUAAAGAAAGGGUCGUCUCAUCUCAUACAAAAAACCAACCGUACGAACUCGAUCAUACAACUCACACGUAAAACAUCGAGACAUACUCGUAUACGGGAUCACGUCAUUUCGUCCGUCAGACAUAUAGUUCAGGAGCUCUUUCGUAAAACUACGGAUAACCAACGGUGGCGGUUCUUCCCGUUUUGGUAACGCUCGAGUUUUUGUAAAAAGCACAAAUCAGCGUUCGGACACAUCGUUGGUUAGGGGUGGCUAUUUGUUUUGUUGACUUACAACACUAGUAUAAACGAGACACGUGUAUGUUUAAUUACAACAC
RNAcentral lists this ribosomal RNA (3486 nucleotides) under Triticum aestivum (bread wheat). Its description in RNAcentral is "partial small subunit ribosomal RNA". Lineage: Eukaryota; Viridiplantae; Streptophyta; Magnoliopsida; Poales; Poaceae. The record is from RNAcentral.